Long non-coding RNA from Brassica napus (rape), 1916 nucleotides. RefSeq lists it as uncharacterized. The record is from RefSeq and is a predicted model, not a curated record. The transcript has 6 exons. Lineage: Eukaryota; Viridiplantae; Streptophyta; Magnoliopsida; Brassicales; Brassicaceae.
AUCUAUCUAUAUUAUAAUGAGACAGUUUAGUCUCUCCUAAAGGUGUCCACGUGGACAUUCUUUAAUAUUUGUGGAUCCCACGUUUAUGUCUGGUUUGGUUAUCACGUUCGGCUUGUUAUUAGAUACAGAUGUUUAUGAUUUAAUUUCACAAACAAACGUUUCUGUUCUUCUUCUUCUAUCCUCUGAACCGUCUUCAUCAUCUCCACUCUUUACCAAACGAUCUAAUGUCAAGAUCGAUAUCGCUACUGAAUUGCGGCGGCAGCGGAACCGGUCUUCGUCGGCGAGCGAGGUUCCGGUUGAUAAUCAAGGACCAGUUUCGGAUCCUGGAUUGGAAUCUGGAGAGCCGAACCUUGGAUCCUCUUAUCCGCAAGGUAUGGAUGCGGAGAAGCCUGUUUUAACCUAUCUGCUGUGAUGGAGAUCUCUCUUGAAGCCGACACAAAUCCUGAAGCCGAUGUCUUGGCGACACCUACAAUAGCAGGUUUGGUGGUCUGUCUCACGAUUUUGUCUGAUUAACCAGUGAUCAGUUACAGAAGAGGUGAAAACAGUGACAGGGAAAGUAACGGAAGAAAAAAAUGAUAAGUUCUACUUCGUAGAGAUCAGUGAGCGUUCUUCCGAGUAGGCUCGAAACCGUGUUGGAGAAAAUCUACAGCUAACACAAAUGUCCUCCCAUAAACGAAGAGUCGAGGCAGAGCCUUUCUUCGAUCCCUGAGGAGUUAGCUUUCAAUUUUCUCAGGAAAGCUUUUAAUUCCCGGUGCUGUCCAACCUCGACCGCUUCAUCCUCUCUAACUUACUGUUACUGUUUCAAGCUCUCCGGCAAAGCCUCAAGGUAAAGUAUCAAAAGCAGAGUCUUUCUAUUGUAUUAUUUGUAAUUGUUGCUCUGAUUGUAGAAGAGAUACCUGUUGAUUCUUUGAGAAUACAAAGCUAUGGUGAAUCUCUGCACAUUCCUCCUCAGCUCUUAGCUUUGAGUGAGCUUGAGUUCAACAAGGCAUUUCUGUUGCUUAGCUAUAUUCCUGGGACAGAUCUGGUUCAGGUUAAAAUAACUACUGAAGAGAUCCGAGGUUGGAAGGAUUUGUCAAUGGUUGCAUUUGAAGCUGCGGUUUGGGAACGCUUGGGAAAGGAUUAUUGUUCCCCAACUGACCGUAGAUUGAUUGGGACACUGGCAAGACUCAUCAUUAUUAUCAGUGUCAUGUAGCUUCAGACGGAAGUUACACGUUCAAGUGUUUUGACAGGGACCUCUUCUUCUUGAACCCGCUGGAACAUACUUGCAAAAGGUCUUGGGUGAUGAUAAUGCUUUGACGGUAUAUUUGAGGAUCUCCAGAAAAAUUCGUCAGCUUGUAGUAUUGACCCUUACUCUGGAUACAAAAAGAUUGCCAAAAAUGGUAUCAAGAUUGGGUUACGCCGUUAUCAAAUUUUUGUUUUCAAAGAUGGUGGAAAAGAAGAAAGACUUUUCUACAAAAGGAAUGAAAUGCUACUUUAUACGCACAGACUCCACAUCUGCUAUUGAUACAGGAAGUCCUUACAUGUUUUCUGGGAAGUCAAUUUAUGAAGCUCGCAUGCAUUUUAUGCACGUGCACACAUUGCCAUCUUUGGCCAACUACAUGGCAAGGUACUUCAGUUUUUUCUCUGUCUAUUUGAUAACUUUUCUUUUUUAAUUCGAGUCUGUGUGUGUUUUUGUUGAUGCUUCGGGUUUUCUUUGAUUCUGUCAAAGACUAAGAAGUGACUGGGAUAACCUUCGAGACUAUUGAUGAUAUACACUGCCAUGUACUUUGUUAAUUCUUUUGUCCUUUUGGGAACUGUGUCUUUAAUUUCUGUGUUUGUAUAUCCUUGAAAAUUCGGUUUGGUUUGUGUGUGUGUUUUUUUCUGAAAAAGGUUGGUGUUGUGUAAUUUCUCAUUACCAAAAUAGUACAAUUAUAUUA